RNAcentral lists this non-coding RNA (147 nucleotides) under Pasteurella felis. Its description in RNAcentral is "Haemophilus felis FMN sequence". It matches the Rfam family "FMN riboswitch aptamer (RFN element)". Rfam says of the family: The RFN element is a highly conserved domain that is found frequently in the 5'-untranslated regions of prokaryotic mRNAs that encode for flavin mononucleotide (FMN) biosynthesis and transport proteins. This element is a metabolite-dependent riboswitch that directly binds FMN in the absence of proteins. Lineage: Bacteria; Pseudomonadati; Pseudomonadota; Gammaproteobacteria; Pasteurellales; Pasteurellaceae. The record is from Rfam by way of RNAcentral.
CCUCGUUCUCAGGGCAGGGCGAAAUUCCCUACCGGUGGUAAAUGUGAUAACAACAUAAGCCCACGAGCGUUUGUGUACUACACAAAGUCAGCAGAUUUGGUGAAAAUCCAAAGCCGACAGUUAUAGUCUGGAUGAAAGAGAAUUAAC